Ahaetulla prasina is the source of this 477-nucleotide long non-coding RNA. RefSeq lists it as uncharacterized. NCBI's taxonomy places the organism in Eukaryota, Metazoa, Chordata, Lepidosauria, Squamata, Colubridae. The record is from RefSeq and is a predicted model, not a curated record. The transcript has 4 exons.
UCCUCUCCACUCACAAAGAGCUUUUUAGUCACCAGAGCAAAGAAGGUUGGAAGAAAAAGGAGCCAUCAGAAGUAUUUUGGUGAAGGAGGAGAUGACAGAAGGAUGCCAAACUUGCUCCCAUCCUGAUUCUAUGUAUUAUAGUGGUUGAGACUACGGGUAAAGCAGCCAGAUAUGCAGAUGAUACCACUCUAAUAGCAGAAAGUGAAGAGGAACUAAAAAGACUCCUGAUGCAGCUCCAGUCUUGCACAGGAGGAGGCUGUGUUUUAACUAAAGGUUGUCCUCAACUUAUGACCACAACUGCGACCAGAAUUUACAUCGUUAUGCAAGGGGAUUGUUAAGUGAGUUGCUGCAGUUAUUAAGUGACCUGAGUGUUCAUUAAGCGAAUCCAGCUUCCCGCAUUGACUUUGCUUGUCAGAAAUGAGCUGAGAAGUUUGCAAAUGGUGAUCACGUGACCUGAGCCACUACAACCAUGCCAGU